GGUAUCAUGCCCCAUGGUC
RNAcentral lists this non-coding RNA (19 nucleotides) under Arabidopsis thaliana (thale cress). Lineage: Eukaryota; Viridiplantae; Streptophyta; Magnoliopsida; Brassicales; Brassicaceae. The record is from RNAcentral.